Molecule: small nuclear RNA, 107 nt
Filed under: Neogale vison (American mink)
Lineage: Eukaryota; Metazoa; Chordata; Mammalia; Carnivora; Mustelidae
Source: RNAcentral
GUGCUUGCUUCAGCAGCACAUAUACUAAAAUUGGAACAACACAGAGAAGAUUAGCAUGGCCACUGCACAAAGAUGACAUGCAAAUCCGAAAGCAUUCCAUGUUUUUU